ACGAGAAUAUUCCGCAAUGGACGAAAGUCUGACGGAGCGACGCCGCGUGAUGGAUGAAGUGCCUUGGUACGUAAACAUCUUUUAUCGGGGACGAAGUUUAUUGACGGUACCCGAUGAAUAAGGAGCUCCUAACUCUGUGCCAGCAGGAGCGGUAAUACAGAGGCUCCAAGCAUUACCCGGAAUCACUGGGCGUAAAGGGUGUCUAGGCGGCCAUAUUAGUCUCUCGUUAAAUGUCCGAGCUCAACUUGGUCACUGCGAGGGAAACGGUAUGGCUCGAGGGCGUGAGAGGUGCAUGGAACUCAUGGUGGAGGGGUGAAAUCCGUUGAUAUCAUGGGGAACACCAAAGGCGAAGGCAGCGCACUGGCCAAAAUCUGACGCUCACACACGAAAGCUAGGGUAGCGAAGAGGAUUAGAUACCCCCGUAGUCCCUG
Molecule: ribosomal RNA, 431 nt
Filed under: uncultured bacterium
Lineage: Bacteria
Description: bacterial SSU rRNA
Rfam family: Bacterial small subunit ribosomal RNA
Source: RNAcentral